Molecule: ribosomal RNA, 661 nt
Filed under: uncultured bacterium
Lineage: Bacteria
Description: bacterial SSU rRNA
Rfam family: Bacterial small subunit ribosomal RNA
Source: RNAcentral
CACAUGCAAGUCGAACGAGAGAGAGGGAGCUUGCUUCCUUGAUCGAGUGGCGAACGGGUGAGUAACGCGUGAGGAACCUGCCUCAAAGAGGGGGACAACAGUUGGAAACGACUGCUAAUACCGCAUAAGCCCACGACCCGGCAUCGGGAAGAGGGAAAAGGAGCAAUCCGCUUUGAGAUGGCCUCGCGUCCGAUUAGCUAGUUGGUGAGGUAACGGCCCACCAAGGCGACGAUCGGUAGCCGGACUGAGAGGUUGAACGGCCACAUUGGGACUGAGACACGGCCCAGACUCCUACGGGAGGCAGCAGUGGGGAAUAUUGCACAAUGGGGGAAACCCUGAUGCAGCGACGCCGCGUGGAGGAAGAAGGUCUUCGGAUUGUAAACUCCUGUUGUUGAGGAAGAUAAUGACGGUACUCAACAAGGAAGUGACGGCUAACUACGUGCCAGCAGCCGCGGUAAAACGUAGGUCACAAGCGUUGUCCGGAAUUACUGGGUGUAAAGGGAGCGCAGGCGGGCGAUCAAGUUGGAAGUGAAAUCCAUGGGCUCAACCCAUGAACUGCUUUCAAAACUGGUCGUCUUGAGUAGUGCAGAGGUAGGCGGAAUUCCCGGUGUAGCGGUGGAAUGCGUAGAUAUCGGGAGGAACACCAGUGGCGAAGGCGGCC